AGCAUCAGGAUGCAAAAUCCCAAUAUAAAAUUUUUAAAUAUUUAAGAUAUUAAAAAAUAAUAGAGUCUAAAUGUAAAAUUUACAUUUCAAAAUCCAAAAGAUUUAAAUACCACUAAAUACAAUAUACAAUAACUAGUUUUAUUAUAUUUAUUAUUUCUUAUUGACCUAAGAAUAUUCCGAAUUUGUAGAAAUAUCGACUCUAACAGAGAGAUGCAGCUCACAGAUGGACUUUUUUUCCGGAUAUUCGAAUGAUGUUCAAAGCAUGGGCAUAUUCAAAUGAUGUUCAAAACAUGGGCAUAUGACCAUACAUGCAGAAUUAUAUCUUUUGAUAACUGAACGAAUCAGCUUUACAAAUAAAUUAAUUUUAGGUUUCUAAUUUUCUGAUAUUCAGAUAUAUCAUAAUUUAUACAUAAUUUUUUUAAAUAGUAUUUGGUUAUUCUACUGAUAUUUAGGGAAAGUUUCUAACAAUAUUGGAAUACCACACUGGAAUUGAUACAACUACAGGCUUCGAAGUUCGUUUCUAGUUAAACAUAAACCUUAUAUUUUGCCUUCGUUAUCCUAUAUAACAUUAAUAAUUAUGUGAAAUUUAAAGUAUAUUAAUAAAUUAUAUAUAGGUCACAUUUUUAGAGUUUUAAAGAGAAAAAGAUAAAAAAAAUAUUAAAAACAUUAUUUGCAAAGUAUAAAAAAUCUUUGUGACUUCAUUUCGUUCCAUAGAAAUUAAAAAUCAAAUAAUUAAGGAAAUGUAUCUUUUCUUACAACAUAUAUGAUAAUAUAAUAUAUUUUCAAUAAAAUUGUUGUUCAUAUUCCAAAUUGGAAGAUUUAUGGUAUUAUAUAUUGGUAAAUAUGUAUAUAUUAAGGAUAUUUGACCAAGAACAACAUCAAUAUAAAUAUACAUUCAUUUAAUGUUGUUGACUGACUUGAUUCAUCAAAUCUAUAAAUGUGCCAAAAUUUAUAAAGAAGUGAAAACAAAAUUUUAAAUAUCUUUCAAGAUUUAGAUUCACCAAAGAAAAAAUGGCUUCCUUAAGUGAUGAAAUUUUCGAUGUUAUUGGUGAACUCAUCCUUAUGAAGGAAGAAUCAAAAGAAGAUGAAGAGCACGUGAGGGGUUUGGAGAAAACUUUAAUUGAAUACCUUGAUGAAAACAAGAUUAUUCUGGACAGCCAACAUUUUGAAGCAAUCCGACAUUUAAAUAUAGAUAGAUUAAUUGAGUCUCAGCUGAAAAUCAUAGAUAAUUGUAUUGAAGAGAACAAUAAGCUUAUUGAAGCGAUGAAGGUUUGCCCAGGGGAGGAUUGCCCGUGUAGCUGCCACAGUCUUACCAAUAAAAAAACCAAUAAUUAAUAUAUGAACAUCAUUACCAUGUAGUAUCAUAUAUGAUCAAAUGUACUUUGCUUAUACAUCUAAAGCUUUGAUGGAAUAAUAAAUGAAAUCCAAAUAUGUUUUUUGUGCAUCUAUAUACAACUGAUAUUCUCAUAAUUAAAUAUAAUUGGCUUACUAAAUUGUUUUAGAGCAAUUGCACUUGAUAUACAAGAUAAAAAGAUUAUUUAGGUGAUUGGCUUCGUACUGUUUCAUUUUCCUUAUAUCCCAAAAGUAACCCUGUUGAUAUCUUGUCUCUGCUAGCGAUUAGUAAAUCUCUCCACAAUUUGUCUGGUUCCAAUUUCUUCCACUCAUGGAACUUCACCUCUGAUCCAUGCGGCUUUGCUGGAGUCUACUGUGACGGCGAUAAAGUAAUUUCUCUCAACCUCGGCGAUCCCAGAGCCGGUUCACCCGGAUAAAAGACCUUCGUUUCUUAGCAAUCAGCCAGAAUUUCAUCUCCGGGGAGAUUCCGGCGAGUCUCGGCGAGGUUCACCGUCUCAGAACGUUUGAUUUGAGCUACAAUCAGCUAGCGGGAACUAUUUCUCCGUCCAUCGGGUCCUUACCGGAGCUCUCCAAUUUGAUUCUCCGCCACAAUCACUUAACCAGAUCAAUCCCUCCGUUUCUCUCGCAAUCGCUAACCCGAAUCGAUCUCAAACGCAACAGCCUCACCGAUUCAAUCUCUCCCUCUGUCGUUGAGAUAUUUAUCACUCGCUUGGAACCAAUUAACCGGACCGGUUGACAGAGUUUUACUCCGGUUAAACCAGCUUAACUACCUCUCUUUCGUCUGACAUCUCUGACACAGCAUGUUUUGUGCGGUGAAUCUUGCAUGAGAGAUAUUGGCUGUGGGGAUUUCACGUCGAGGUGGAGGGACCACCGGAGACGCUCGUUCGAUGGAUGCUCCUGCGUUUUAACGGAGAUCGCCGCUGCGGUUUGCUAUUAUAUACGUUAACUCUUUGCUCUUUGUCUUGGAUGGAUAAAGGGGUUUGGUUUUGUGAUUGAAGAGAAUGAGAAAGUGUUGAGAUAUGUGGAGUGAUGAAUGAUGAUGCGUAUUUAUACGAACGUAAUUAAAUACAUAUAUGGCGACGUUGCUGGAGUUUUUUUUUCCGUUUCAUAGAAUCUAAUCUUAUCACUAUGAUUUCGUUUUAGGGACAGAAUGGUAAGUUCUCAUUCACCGAUUUAUCCUCAUACCUAAUUAAAAAGUUUUAUGUAUAGUUACCUAAAUAACUUUUAUUCUAUGUAUUUCCAACCAAAUAGGCCAU
Long non-coding RNA from Brassica napus (rape), 2609 nucleotides. RefSeq lists it as uncharacterized. The record is from RefSeq and is a predicted model, not a curated record. The transcript has 2 exons. Lineage: Eukaryota; Viridiplantae; Streptophyta; Magnoliopsida; Brassicales; Brassicaceae.